UUAAUUUGACUCAACACGGGAAAACUCACCCGGUCCGGACACUGGAAGGAUUGACAGAUUGAAAGCUCUUUCUUGAUUCAGUGGGUGGUGGUGCAUGGCCGUUCUUAGUUGGUGGAGUGAUUUGUCUGGUUAAUUCCGAUAACGAACGAGACUCUAGCCUGCUAACUAGUUCGCCGACUUUCGACAGUCGCGCGGCGCCACUUCGGUGGCCAACUUCUUAGAGGGACAGGUGGCGUUUAGCCACACGAAGUAGAGCAAUAACAGGUCUGUGAUGCCCUUAGAUGUCCGGGGCCGCACGCGCGCUACACUGAAAGAAUCAGCGUGGAUGCCCACCUGCUCCGAGAGGAGUGGGAAACCCGAUGAAUCUCUUUCGUGAUGGGGAUUGGGGCUUGUAAUUCUUCCCCAUGAACGAGGAAUUCCCAGUAAGCGUCAGUCAUAAGCUGGCGUUGAUUACGUCCCUGCCCUUUGUACACACCGCCCGUCGCUACUACCGAUUGAAUGGUUUAGUGAGACCCUCGGACUGGAUCUGUCUGUCGCUCUUCGGGGUGGCGGACCGGGGACGGAAAGACGGUCGAACUUGAUCAUUUAGAGGAAGUAAAAGUCGUAACAAGGUUUCC
This 617-nucleotide ribosomal RNA is filed under the name Emarginula sicula. Its description in RNAcentral is "SSU rRNA". It matches the Rfam family "Eukaryotic small subunit ribosomal RNA", at positions 1190 to 1804 of the family's 1831-position model. Lineage: Eukaryota; Metazoa; Mollusca; Gastropoda; Lepetellida; Fissurellidae. The record is from RNAcentral.